This 477-nucleotide ribosomal RNA is filed under the name uncultured bacterium. Its description in RNAcentral is "bacterial SSU rRNA". It matches the Rfam family "Bacterial small subunit ribosomal RNA", at positions 30 to 507 of the family's 1533-position model. The record is from RNAcentral.
AUUGAACGCUGGCGGCAUGCUUUACACAUGCAAGUCGAACGGUAACAGGUUAAGCUGACGAGUGGCGAACGGGUGAGUAAUGCAUCGGAACGUGCCCAGUCGUGGGGGAUAACGCAGCGAAAGCUGUGCUAAUACCGCAUACGAUCUAUGGAUGAAAGCGGGGGACCGUAAGGCCUCGCGCGAUUGGAGCGGCCGAUGUCAGAUUAGCUAGUUGGUGGGGUAAAGGCCCACCAAGGCGACGAUCUGUAGCUGGUCUGAGAGGACGACCAGCCACACUGGAACUGAGACACGGUCCAGACUCCUACGGGAGGCAGCAGUGGGGAAUUUUGGACAAUGGACGCAAGUCUGAUCCAGCCAUUCCGCGUGCAGGAUGAAGGCCCUCGGGUUGUAAACUGCUUUUGUACGGAACGAAAAGGUCUCUAUUAAUACUAGGGGCUCAUGACGGUACCGUAAGAAUAAGCACCGGCUAACUACGUG